This 2254-nucleotide ribosomal RNA is filed under the name metagenome. RNAcentral's name for it is "bacterial LSU rRNA". It matches the Rfam family "Bacterial large subunit ribosomal RNA", at positions 14 to 2497 of the family's 2925-position model. The record is from RNAcentral.
AAAGCACUUGAUGGAUGUCUAGGUACUAAAAGAAAAGGACGUGAUAAAAAACGAAAAGUUACAAGUAGAUAAAGAUAUCUGUGAUUUGUAAAUUUCCUAAUAGGGAAACCUAAUAUUUUUUUAAUUAAAACUGAGCGAACUGAAACAUCUUAGUAGCUUAGGAAAGGAAAUCAAUAGAGACUCCGUUAGUAUUGGCGAGAGAAAGCGGAUAAGGCCAAAAUUAUAUAUGUAUAUAUUCCUAGAAAUAAACUGCAAUGUUUUGCUAUAAAGGGUGAUAGCCCCGUAUUCGAAUAUUAAAAUAAUUAUUGAGUAAAACGGGACACGUGUAAUCUUGUUUGAAUUUAGGGGGACCAUCCUCUAAGCCUAAGUACUUUUAGUAACCGAUAGUGAAUCAGUACCGUAAGGGAAAGAUAAUAUUUAUUUCGAUAAUAUAAAUCCUGAAAUUGAGUGUUUACAAACAAUUGAAGCUUUUAAAAGCAACAAUGUACCUUUUGCAUAAUGAGCCAGUGACUUAAUUUAAAUAGCAAGCUUAAAUUUACAAAAAAUGAAGGCGUAGUGAAAGCAAAUUUUAAUAGAGUAUUAAGUUAUUUAAAUUAGACCCGAAACCAGGUGAUCUAUCCAUGAGCAGGUUGAAGAUACGGUAACACGUGUUGGAGGACCGAACCCGUACAUGUAGAAAAAUGUUGGGAUGACUUGUGGUUAGGGGUGAAAGGCCAAUCAAACUUGGAGAUAGCUGGUUUUCCACGAAAUCUAUUUAGGUAGAGCAUCAUAAUUAUUUUCUUUUGGGGUAGAGCUCUAUUAGAAUGCGGGGGGCCCAAAGCCUUACUAAAUUUUGAUAAACUACGAAUACAAAAUGAAAAAAUAUGAUAGACAGACUAUGACUGCUAAGAGCCAUCAGUCAAAAGGGAAAUAGCCCAGAUCGUAAGCUAAGGUCCUUAAAUUAUAACUUAGUGAUAAAGGAAGUUAAAUAACCAUGACAGCCAGGAGGUGGGCUUGGAAGCAGCCAUCCUUUGAAGAAAGCGUAAUAGCUCACUGGUCUAAAUAUUAAGUUAUUUUGCGCCGAAAAUGUAUCGGGACUUAAGUUAUAUACCGAAGCGACGAACUCAAAUAUAUUGAGUGGUAGUGGAACGUUCUGUAUAUCGUUGAAGAAAUAUUGAAAAAUAUUUUGGAGAAAUCAGAAUUGAAAAUGCUGGCAUGAGUAACGACAAAUACUAUUAUGAAAUAGUAUCGCCGAAAGUUCAAGGUUUCAUGGGCCAGGAUAAACCUCCCAUGGUAAGCCGGUCCCUAAGAUAAUGGCGAAAGCCUACAUCGAUGGGAAUUUAAAUUUAUUUUAAAGCCAAUUAAUAGUGACUGUUUAAAAUAUUUUUUAGUGAAAUUGACUAAUUCUAAAAAAUUAAGUUAGAUACAAGAAAUAGCUAUUAUAAUUAAAGACCGUACUUCAAACCGACACAGGUGAACUGGUAGAGUAUACUAAGGCGCUUGAGAGAAUCAUGUUAAAGGAACUCGGCAAAAUUAUCUCGUAACUUAGGGAGAAGAGAUGACGUAUUUAUACGUCGGCACAGAAUCGGGGGUAGCGACUGUUUAUUAAAAACACAGGACUCUGCNAAGUUGUAAAAUGAUGUAUAGGGUCUGACACCUGCCCGGUGCUGGAAGGUUAAGAGGAGAAGUUAACGCUUUAAAUUGAAGCCCCAGUAAACGGCGGCGGUAACUCUAACCGUCCUAAGGUAGCGAAAUUCCUUGUCACCUAAUUAGUGACCUGCAUGAAUGGUGUAACGACUUCCCCACUGUCUCUAACAUGAACUCAGUGAAAUUGAAUUCUCCGUGAAGAUGCGGAGUACCCAUAGGUAGACGGAAAGACCCCGUGCACCUUUACUACAGCUUUAUAUUGCUAGGGGGAUUUAAAUGUGUAGGAUAAGUGGGAGCUUAUGAAGCAAUGACGCCAGUUAUUGUGGAAGCAAUCUUGAAAUACCACUCUUUUAAAUCUCUAUAGCUAAUCAAAAUUUUGAAACAGUGUAUGGUUGGUAGUUUGACUGGGGCGGUCGCCUCCGAAAGAGUAACGGAGGCGUGCGAAGGUAGGCUCAAGUUGGACGGAAAUCAACUUUAGAGCGCAAUGGUAUAAGCCUGCCUGACUGUGAGACCAACAAGUCGAACAGGGACGUAAGUCGGCCAUAGUGAUCCGGUGGUUCCGAAUGGAAGGGCCAUCGCUCAACGGAUAAAAGGUACGCCGGGGAUAACAGGCUGAUGAUUCCCAAGA